UACGUAGGGGGCAAGCGUUGUCCGGAUUUAUUGGGCGUAAAGAGCUCGUAGGCGGUUCCGUAAGUCAGGUGUGAAAAAUCUGGGCUCAACCCAGUGGAGCACCUGAUACUGCGGUGACUCGAGUCCGGUAGGGGAGUGUGGAAUUCCUGGUGUAGCGGUGGAAUGCGCAGAUAUCAGGAGGAACACCGAUGGCGAAGGCGGCUAUCUGGCCCAAUACUGACACUGAGGUGCGAAAGCGUGGGGAUCAAACAGG
This 253-nucleotide ribosomal RNA is filed under the name uncultured bacterium. Its description in RNAcentral is "partial 16S ribosomal RNA". It matches the Rfam family "Bacterial small subunit ribosomal RNA", at positions 524 to 776 of the family's 1533-position model. The record is from RNAcentral.